RNAcentral lists this ribosomal RNA (279 nucleotides) under uncultured bacterium. RNAcentral's name for it is "partial 16S ribosomal RNA". It matches the Rfam family "Bacterial small subunit ribosomal RNA", at positions 506 to 784 of the family's 1533-position model. The record is from RNAcentral.
UGCCAGCAGCCGCGGUAAUACAGAGGGUGCGAGCGUUAAUCGGAAUUACUGGGCGUAAAGCGCGCGUAGGUUGAUUGGUCAGUCAGAUGUGAAAGCCCCGGGCUCAACCUGGGAACUGCACCUGAUACUGCCAGUCUUGAGUACAGUAGAGGGCAGUGGAAUUUCCUGUGUAGCGGUGAAAUGCGUAGAUAUAGGGAGGAACACCAGUGGCGAAGGCGACUGCCUGGACUGAUACUGACGCUGAGACGCGAAAGCGUGGGGAGCAAACAGGAUUAGAUA